Dendronephthya gigantea is the source of this 1186-nucleotide long non-coding RNA. RefSeq lists it as uncharacterized. The transcript is spliced from 3 exons. The record is from RefSeq and is a predicted model, not a curated record. NCBI's taxonomy places the organism in Eukaryota, Metazoa, Cnidaria, Anthozoa, Malacalcyonacea, Nephtheidae.
GUUAAUAAGACCCUGCCUAAAAGAAACGAGCAUGUACUUCCAGAGAUAUGUAUUGUUUGUGGAAGAGAUUCCUCUUAGUUCUCACUAGACAAGGUGACUAAGAAGAGAAGAAGAACCCCACUCAUGUUGGCAGAAACAAUUGAUGCUGGUCUUCUACGUACAGCUGCCGAGAGAAAGAAUGAUGAACGGAUACUCGUGUAAAUCCGGGGGAAAGACUGUGUAGCACUGGAAGUCCGCUAUCACAAAGUUUGCUACUGCAAUCAUACAAAUUUUCUCACCAGAGAGACAAAGAAGCAAUUGGAGACUGAAAGAUCUACAGUGUACGAGAAGUCUUAUGAUGUCUUCUGUAAGAAAGUAAUCGAGACUGAGGUCAUCGCAAAUAAGCAAAUAAGGUACAUGAAAGAUUGCUGGAGAAAUUUGUUAUCAUUGCUAAGGACACCGAGAAUGUGGAUGCAUCUAAAUAUAGAGCUUUUAAACUCAAGCAACGACUGAUGAAAAGUUAUCCCCAACUUGUGUUCUAUGUACCGAAAAUGAGAAAUGUUAGUGAGAUUGUAUAUGUGGAAAAUUUGGAUUCUUCCGAAUUGGUUGAGGAACAUAUGUCAAACAAGUCAGAAAACAACGAUGAAGACUUUGAUGAAGAGAGCUAUACCGGUACCAUUGAUGAUGAUGAUCUGAAUUCCAACACAGAAACUGAGGGAAAUUCUAAAGUCAAUGAGUUACAAAUUCUAUACAAUGCUGCAUUGAUUCUUUGCCAAAAGGUCCAAGAUAUACCAAAACUGAAUCUUCCUUGGCCACCAUUGGCAUCUGAUUUGACAAUAGAUAAUGUGCAAAAAGUGGUUCCAUGUGAACUUUUUAAUGUAUUGGCUUGGACUUGUGGAUUCUCUUCAGAGCCAACUUUAAGCUUUGUUAGUGAUGUUCCAACUACUCUUGCAUGGGAUAAUGCGUUUGGCCAAGGCUAUAUUUAAGCGAAAUAUUUAACUUGUUUCUUGAUUGUGUGAGUUGUAUGUAUAUUUAUAUAUUCUCCGUCCUGUUUGAUACAGGUGGGUUUUUUACCUCACAAAUUUUUAUUGAAUUAAGAUGUUAAUAAGUAGAAUUAUACGUUAAAACGGUAUUUUGAAACAAUAGCCAAUAAAUUGAAGUGAUUUAGCAUAUGAGCAAGCAAAAUGUACAAUGUGUUUUAACAAUA